Molecule: unclassified non-coding RNA, 1080 nt
Filed under: Bombus terrestris (buff-tailed bumblebee)
Lineage: Eukaryota; Metazoa; Arthropoda; Insecta; Hymenoptera; Apidae
Description: misc RNA ENSBTSG00005036303.1
Source: RNAcentral
GGCACUGUAAGGCGAGGCAUCCGUGUGUGCAUCGAGCGUACGUACAAAUGCAGUCACGUACACGUGGAGACACGUACACGUGACUGAGAGCCAGCCAAUGAGUCACCUCUCGUUGGUAACACGCGCGCGCGAGUUCGCUGUCGCGAAGCUUCCUUUUUUUCUUUUUCUUUUUUUUUUUGAAGGAUCAAUGGCGAAUUUUCCAUUGAUAAGAACGAUAUCGCGACAAUAAACAAUAAGUUGAUUGAUCGUACGAUCGUGUCGAUUCCACGAGAUAUUAACCCCGUCACGUGAAACGUCGGAUGUCGACCUGGAAUUGGUGUGAAGCAAAACAGGAAGAAUGUUUCAUUCUUUCAUCCGGUUUACGACCAAAUAAGGAAAGAUCAGUUGAUUCUCUGGAUGGUCGAGUUCCACCCGGCCAUGAGAACGCGUCAGGUCACCGGGAACAAUGUCCGCGGGUGAUCCGUGCAAGAAUAACAUCGACAACGGAAAAACACGACGAGGGACAGCAGCCGGGAGCGCGUUGACUCGCUUGACUCAGACGUCGGCCACCGGCGGACCUUGAAGAGGGAACAGGAACUUGACAGGCUCCGCGCCAAGGCGAGCCAGAAUCCCGCGCGUCUCUUUGUCCCAACUUUCUGUAGCAUUAACGCAGCGUCCGCGAGUUUAUCUCCAUUAUUUUUGUUAAGUGCCGCAGACACGAACUGAUCGAAAGAACCUGAUUAACAGCGUGUUCGGAAAAAGAUACAACUCGUAUUGGAGGUCCUUCUUUUGCUGGCCAAUGGAAGGCAGCAGGAAGUGGAAGUUUCAAAGGUAGCCUUAUGCGCGAAGAUUUAUGCCCUUCCGUGUAUUCUACGGUAUAUUUGUGAUGGUUCGGCAAGAUGGUUUUCUAAGGAGAAUUUGGUACGUCUUUGGAGAUGUUAAUUUGGUUAAGUUCGGAGAAAGGCCAGAUUUCACAAUCACGAGAACGUGCGUCGGUGAGGAGCCAAGUUAGAUCUGCAUCGGGCAACGAGUUAUCUUUUCAAUUACAUGUUCAAACUAAUUUGAUCUAAUCAAUAAACGAAGGCGAUUAUAUUCAAUCAA